UACAGAGGUCUCGAGCGUUGUUCGGAUUCAUUGGGCGUAAAGGGUGCGUAGGCGGCUUCCUAAGUCUGAUGUGAAAUCCCGGGGCUCAACCCCGGAAUGGCAUUGGAUACUGGGAGGCUAGAGAACUGGAGAGGAGACUGGAAUUUACGGUGUAGCAGUGAAAUGCGUAGAGAUCGUAAGGAAGACCAGUGGCGAAGGCGAGUCUCUGGACAGUUCCUGACGCUGAGGCACGAAGGCCAGGGGAGCAAACGGG
Molecule: ribosomal RNA, 253 nt
Filed under: uncultured bacterium
Lineage: Bacteria
Description: partial 16S ribosomal RNA
Rfam family: Bacterial small subunit ribosomal RNA
Source: RNAcentral